CUGGAAACCAGAGGGUCUUGGAGGCUGGGGGUGCAGCCACUGAACUGACCUUUAACAUGGCUUACAGGAGAGUUGGCAGAACAAAGCGAGGAGGAGAUCUGCGAUCAACUGCUCUUUCUUUCCUUGAGGUGGAGUCCAAUUGGUGGCUGACGCAAAUGGAUACUAGAACAUUUGCCUACUGGUUAAUGGAGCGUGAUUCGAGAAGCCUUUGAUCGGUCGUCGUCGUCCUUGACGUGUUUUGAUGACCCAGACUCUAUUACUUCCCAAUAGUGACGAAUAAAAGAAUGGCACCGGUGGUUCCAAUUCCAAGCCAAAGCAUAAUCUUCACAACCAUCGAGUUGAUUGAAGGAGAAAUAAAGAGACGAAUCAUUCAUGUC
Long non-coding RNA from Musa acuminata AAA Group (dessert banana), 377 nucleotides. RefSeq lists it as uncharacterized. The transcript has 2 exons. The record is from RefSeq and is a predicted model, not a curated record. NCBI's taxonomy places the organism in Eukaryota, Viridiplantae, Streptophyta, Magnoliopsida, Zingiberales, Musaceae.